AAAAAUAUCCGGUAAUCUACACUCAGACAAAAGGAUGGAAAAUUCUUCAUCUCGGAAACCAGCAUGGUGGUACCUACAGAAGCACAUUAGAUAUGACAAGGAUGCACAACAUGAAGAGACAACUCAUUUUCAGAGACUGCAGCAUGAGGAGCUCCGUUGAGGUUUCUUGGAGCAGCCCUCGUUCUGCAACUGGUGAAGCAAGACAGGGGAAGGGAGGGAGCAGAUUUCCACCUGAUUUUCUCCACGUGCUUGAAGACGAGGAGUUUCUGCUAACUGCUGCCAGGCCAGGAGCUGGGACUGCCCAAGCCACUGACACCCAGUGGUCCCAGACACGCAAACCAGCACCAGAACCCGAGCAAGUCUCCAGCUUCCUAGAGAAACAGCUUGCUCUUGUUACGUGGACACAGGGUGCCAAUACCACGGAGUCCCAAUCUAAACCAGGUCCCCUAGGCAUGGCAGGAAUAAGAAUCAUCAUCUCCAGAUUUCAUGGGUCUGGUUGAUCUGCAAGAAGCAAGACUGGGACUAACAAAUCUGUUGGGCGUGGAAAUUUAAAUGUCUAACAGUGAUCAAGGAAACAAAGGGAGAAGCCUGGAAUACUUCAUGGUAAAUGCAUAGCAAGUUACAGUAUAAUUCAAAUAGACUAAUAAAAUACCCUGAAAGAUAAAAGCA
RNAcentral lists this long non-coding RNA (669 nucleotides) under Anser cygnoides (Swan goose). RNAcentral describes it as "lncRNA (ENSACDG00005000658.1)". The record is from RNAcentral. Lineage: Eukaryota; Metazoa; Chordata; Aves; Anseriformes; Anatidae.